CGGGCCAGUGAUGAGAAUGUGUCGUGAACGAAGGAAUAGGACUAACCCAAUUCUGUGCACUGGAGGGUCAAU
Molecule: small nucleolar RNA, 72 nt
Filed under: Vicugna pacos (alpaca)
Lineage: Eukaryota; Metazoa; Chordata; Mammalia; Artiodactyla; Camelidae
Description: Small nucleolar RNA SNORD112 (ENSVPAG00000017952.1)
Source: RNAcentral